UGGGGAAUUUUGGACAAUGGGCGAAAGCCUGAUCCAGCAAUGCCGCGUGUGUGAAGAAGGCCUUCGGGUUGUAAAGCACUUUUGUCCGGAAAGAAAUCCUUGGCUCUAAUACAGUCGGGGGAUGACGGUACCGGAAGAAUAAGCACCGGCUAACUACGUGCCAGCAGCCGCGGUAAUACGUAGGGUGCAAGCGUUAAUCGGAAUUACUGGGCGUAAAGCGUGCGCAGGCGGUUUGCUAAGACCGAUGUGAAAUCCCCGGGCUCAACCUGGGAACUGCAUUGGUGACUGGCAGGCUAGAGUAUGGCAGAGGGAGGUAGAAUUCCACGUGUAGCAGUGAAAUGCGUAGAGAUGUGGAGGAAUACCGAUGGCGAAGGCAGCCCCCUGGGCCAAUACUGACGCUCAUGCACGAAAGCGUGGGGAGCAAACAGGAUUAGAUACCCUGGUAGUCCACGCCCUAAACGAUGUCAACUAGUUGUUGGGGAUUCAUUUCCUUAGUAACGUAGCUAACGCGUGAAGUUGACCGCCUGGGGAGUACGGUCGCAAGAUUAAAACUCAAAGGAAUUGACGGGGUCAUAGCUGUUUCCU
This 585-nucleotide ribosomal RNA is filed under the name uncultured bacterium. RNAcentral describes it as "partial 16S ribosomal RNA". It matches the Rfam family "Bacterial small subunit ribosomal RNA", at positions 355 to 1375 of the family's 1533-position model. The record is from RNAcentral.